Long non-coding RNA from Mesocricetus auratus (golden hamster), 1202 nucleotides. RefSeq lists it as uncharacterized. NCBI's taxonomy places the organism in Eukaryota, Metazoa, Chordata, Mammalia, Rodentia, Cricetidae. The record is from RefSeq and is a predicted model, not a curated record. The transcript has 2 exons.
GCAACUGAGGGAAGUAAAGGGCUUACAUGGCUUGUCCUUCCGGAUCAGUCUCGUCACUGAGGGAAGGGAGGAAGGGACUCAAGCAAGAACUGGAGGCAGAAACCACGGAGGAUCCCUGUUUGCUGGUUGCAGCGGGAGGGGAUGGGAAUUCUGGAAGUGAUGGGAGCAUGGGUAGACUGGGUGGUAUAAGGAGCUCAGCUGCCCGAGUUUGCUAAGGACGGCUGGUUUGCUCACAUGGUUGGGAAGCAGACAAGCCUUAGAUGCUGCAAUGUAUAUAUUCUGCUGUUGGUGUCUCUCUAUGUUGGCCUUGGCACCAAGUUAUCUAGAUCUUUAAAAUGUCUACCAACAAGUGAAUUCAGAGUUUUGGCUAUGUGCAGUUCUAUUCAAUGGCAAGGCAAUUUAUUACUGAUGUGGUUCCAUUCAGACAGGUUUCUAGUACAGGCCAAGUAGAAGGAUGAAGAGUUCUGAUGACAUGCGGACUUAGAGAGACAGAUGACAUGCCAACCUAGAGGAACAGACGACAGCCCUCCAUUGUUUUCAAAUAAUUCAACAAGCAGAAAUGCUAAUCCUGUCUACCCUGCCCCCAGUAGUAGUAUUGACCUGUCAUCCAGAAGCAUCAGGAACAUGAAGUUUUCAGUUCUGAACCUGUUACUAUGUGACCCAAGGAGGAUGACGAUUAAACGGUUAUUACGCAUCAAACGAUUUGCUGUUCGUUGCUAUGGUGAGUCACCGUUGCAGCAUUUGCCAUUGAACUUGGUCACUAUCUCACAGAUGCCUGCACAAUCUGUCUUUCGCUGUGGGACUUAAGCCUCACAUGAAAUCAAUCUCCAGGUCUGAGAUCACUGUGACAGUGAGAGUCACACCGGGGAAGUAACAGGAGGACACCGGAAUAACAGGGCAACUGUGUGGUAGACUGGGGGCCCAGAAGAGGUCAGAGACUGGCUUUCUUAACUGGAAGAAGCACACAGGAGAAGGACGGCCUGCACAGGCGACACAAGAGCACAGCUGGGAAACCUGCGGGUCCCGGGAGAACUAAGCAUCAAAUGGUGGAGGAUCUGCUCGGAGGGGUUUUGUGGGGAACAUGGUCCAGUUGCUUCUGGGGCCUCCAGUGCAAAGGGAUACCACUUGAGAAUUUCAAGGUGUAAAUAAAGCCUCAACUGGAGUGGAGCCUGCUCCAGAUCCAGGGUGAGCAUCAGCAUGGA